Hordeum vulgare subsp. vulgare (domesticated barley) is the source of this 226-nucleotide long non-coding RNA. RefSeq lists it as uncharacterized. The transcript has 3 exons. NCBI's taxonomy places the organism in Eukaryota, Viridiplantae, Streptophyta, Magnoliopsida, Poales, Poaceae. The record is from RefSeq and is a predicted model, not a curated record.
GUAAAGAAUGCAAGGAAGUAGUGAGAGAGUAUGGAGAGAUGAUCCUCGAGAUGCUUGUAGCACAGACAAGGCCACAAAAAGUGUGUAGUCAGAUCGGUCUGUGUGUAUUUGAUGGUAGUCACUCUGUCAGUAACCAAAUUGAAUCUGUCGUUAAUAAGAAAGAGAAGCGAGGCUCUGAUCUUCUCUGCACGGCUUCUGAGAUGACUGUUGUCUGGAUACAGAAUCA